Molecule: ribosomal RNA, 148 nt
Filed under: uncultured bacterium
Lineage: Bacteria
Description: partial 16S ribosomal RNA
Rfam family: Bacterial small subunit ribosomal RNA
Source: RNAcentral
CUGAUGCAGCCAUGCCGCGUGURUGAAGAAGGGCUUCGGGUUGUAAAGUACUUUCAGUUGUGAGGAAGGGGGUGUUGUUAAUAGCAUCAUCUCUUGACGUUAGCAACAGAAGAAGCACCGGCUAACUCCGUGCCAGCAGCCGCGGUAA